This 1226-nucleotide ribosomal RNA is filed under the name alkali sediment metagenome. RNAcentral's name for it is "bacterial SSU rRNA". It matches the Rfam family "Bacterial small subunit ribosomal RNA", at positions 279 to 1520 of the family's 1533-position model. The record is from RNAcentral.
AUCAGUAGCUGGUCUGAGAGGAUGAUCAGCCACACUGGGACUGAGACACGGCCCAGACUCCUACGGGAGGCAGCAGUGGGGAAUUUUCCGCAAUGGGCGCAAGCCUGACGGAGCAACGCCGCGUGAGGGAUGAAGGCCUCUGGGCUGUAAACCUCUUUUCUCAAGGAAGAAGACAUGACGGUACUUGAGGAAUAAGCCACGGCUAAUUCCGUGCCAGCAGCCGCGGUAAUACGGGAGUGGCAAGCGUUAUCCGGAAUCAUUGGGCGUAAAGCGUCCGCAGGCGGCCUUGUAAGUCUGUCGUUAAAGCGUGGAGCUCAACUCCAUUUCAGCGAUGGAAACUACAAGGCUUGAGUGUGGUAGGGGCAGAGGGAAUUCCCGGUGUAGCGGUGAAAUGCGUAGAUAUCGGGAAGAACACCAGUGGCGAAGGCGCUCUGCUGGGCCAUAACUGACGCUCAUGGACGAAAGCCAGGGGAGCGAAAGGGAUUAGAUACCCCUGUAGUCCUGGCCGUAAACGAUGAACACUAGGUGUCGGGGGAAUCGACCCCCUCGGUGUCGUAGCCAACGCGUUAAGUGUUCCGCCUGGGGAGUACGCACGCAAGUGUGAAACUCAAAGGAAUUGACGGGGGCCCGCACAAGCGGUGGAGUAUGUGGUUUAAUUCGAUGCAACGCGAAGAACCUUACCAGGGUUUGACAUCCUGCGAAUCCCUUGGAAACGAGGGAGUGCCUUCGGGAGCGCAGAGACAGGUGGUGCAUGGCUGUCGUCAGCUCGUGUCGUGAGAUGUUGGGUUAAGUCCCGCAACGAGCGCAACCCACGUCUUUAGUUGCCAGCAUUCAGUUGGGCACUCUAGAGAGACCGCCGGUGAUAAACCGGAGGAAGGUGUGGAUGACGUCAAGUCAUCAUGCCCCUUACAUCCUGGGCUACACACGUACUACAAUGCUACGGACAAAGGGCAGCAAGCUCGCGAGAGUAAGCAAAUCCCAUAAACCGUGGCUCAGUUCAGAUCGUAGGCUGCAACUCGCCUACGUGAAGGAGGAAUCGCUAGUAAUCGCAGGUCAGCAUACUGCGGUGAAUACGUUCCCGGGCCUUGUACACACCGCCCGUCACACCAUGGAAGUUGGCCAUGCCCGAAGUCGUUACUCCAACCCUUGUGGAGGAGGACGCCGAAGGUGGGGCUGAUGACUGGGGUGAAGUCGUAACAAGGUAGCCGUACCGGAAGGUGCGGCUG